RNAcentral lists this transfer RNA (61 nucleotides) under Asotana magnifica. RNAcentral's name for it is "tRNA-Asn". Lineage: Eukaryota; Metazoa; Arthropoda; Malacostraca; Isopoda; Cymothoidae. The record is from RNAcentral.
CUAACAAAACCAAGAUCGAGGUGAAUCUUUGUUAAAGAUUUUAAUGGAUACCCUGUUAAGU